ACAAUACAUGUGUGGCAGUGCUGUGGGGAAGAUGCCACGGGGAAAGCCUAAGAUACUGGUGCUUCCAGCGAGUGGGAAAGCGUAUCAGCUAAGAGCCAUGUCGUGGCUCUGGAUGUCCCUGCAAUGAGGCAUACUGAUAACAUCAACAUCUAUGAAGUCAUGGCCCAGCCCCAUGGAGCCAAACACAGACUGUUGACCAUCCCAGAGGCAGUGGCAUCCUUACUGUCUGCUGAAGAGAACACACACUUCAUGAAGACAGGAUUUUGUCCAUUUUGCUCCUCGCUGUUUCCCCAGAAUCUUGCUUGGGUCC
This is a long non-coding RNA of Lutra lutra (Eurasian river otter), 310 nucleotides long. RefSeq lists it as uncharacterized. The transcript has 3 exons. Lineage: Eukaryota; Metazoa; Chordata; Mammalia; Carnivora; Mustelidae. The record is from RefSeq and is a predicted model, not a curated record.